This 216-nucleotide long non-coding RNA is filed under the name Capsicum annuum. Its description in RNAcentral is "long non-coding RNA (CANN_LNC002441)". The record is from RNAcentral. Lineage: Eukaryota; Viridiplantae; Streptophyta; Magnoliopsida; Solanales; Solanaceae.
UACACCCCAUUAUCCCACAUUUUUCUCAUGCACAUACACACGUCCUCAGCUACACAAACACACACCACAACAACAAUUCAACUCCCACACGUCAUUAUAUAAUAUACACACACCAACACACUUAAGAGAUAGAGAAGAAGACACAAAGACAAAAGAUUAAAAAGAGAAAAAGAAAGAAAAGGUGAAAAAACUUAGAGAAAUUAAGGAAAAGAAAAC